CGGUAACAGCUCAAAUUUGAAAUCUGCCUUCUGGCCGAGUUGUAAUUUGUAGAGGAACGUUCGGCUUCGUCUAGGUCCGAGUCUUCUGGAAGGGAGCGCCGAUGAGGGUGAGAGCCCCGUACGACCGCCGACUUCGCCAUGUGAACGUCCUUCGAA
RNAcentral lists this ribosomal RNA (156 nucleotides) under Orbiliaceae sp. RNAcentral describes it as "partial large subunit ribosomal RNA". It matches the Rfam family "Eukaryotic large subunit ribosomal RNA", at positions 99 to 261 of the family's 3401-position model. Lineage: Eukaryota; Fungi; Ascomycota; Orbiliomycetes; Orbiliales; Orbiliaceae. The record is from RNAcentral.